This 1299-nucleotide long non-coding RNA is filed under the name Cyclopterus lumpus (lumpfish). Its description in RNAcentral is "lncRNA (ENSCLMG00005010564.1)". The record is from RNAcentral. Lineage: Eukaryota; Metazoa; Chordata; Actinopteri; Perciformes; Cyclopteridae.
CCGGGAGCCAAGGUUACCAACAGCCCCUCGGCGGAGGACGAGGAGCCAGAGGGGCUCCGGCCAGGGUCUCCUGGAUGGGAGCGGGGCUACCCGAGCGCUAACCCUGGCAAAGCUCAACAAGAAAGCACGGCUUCCUCCAAGGGAAGUGCAAAAGGGGACAAGUUGGAGCUCAGCGUGGGCCUUGUAGGGGCUCUGCCCCCCGUCACUCCUACCAGCCCAGCUGAAGCUCUGGCUGAGGGCGUUCUCACUCAGCUCCCCACCUCUCCUCCAUCCCUGCCCGAGGAGGUCGCGAUCCGGACAUGCGGCCCCGCCCCUCUGCGCUCUCCCAGCCCUCACACACUCCUCGCCACCUUGUCGGACCCGUUGCACCUGCGCCACCCGCCGGGCAUGAGGCGCAGCCAGUCCGUCGACCCGCAGCGGCAGGAGCGCCCCUCGUCUUCCUCCUCCUGCCACGCCUCCCUGCCGCUACCACCAAACCCCGCCCCCGGCACCCGCUCGCCCACUCGCAGGAAACUGCCGGCCAUCCCGGCGGGUGCCGCCAACGCCAAGUUCCCCUCCGUCAUACGCAUCACCCGUGCCCAGCUUCAGCAGUUGACAGCUCAGCGUCCCUCUGGGCUGUCCUUCCAGUCAGGAUCAGACAGUGCGCCACAGUGCCUCCUGCUGGAGAGGCGUAGUGAGGCUGAAGCUGAGGCUCAGCUGGUCCAGGAGCGCACAGCAGACAUCAGCUCCCCUCAGGACCAUGUCCUCACCCAUCCAGGGACACCCACAGACCCCCUGGCUGAGGUGCUGGUCAAUGGAGACAUCCACACCAAAGCUCAAAGCCCUGUUUCAAACCGCGUGUCUUCCCCACGCUCCCCACGCUCUCCUCGCUCGGUUCCCCUGCGCUCGCCUUCCUCUCCACGCUCGCCACACUCCCCUUGCUCUCCUCGCUCUCCUUGCUCCCCUCGCUCUCCUCGCAGCCCUGUGUUUGCCAAUGGCCACCUCUCCCCUCCUGGUAACAGCCAAAGGGAUUUAAGUAACGGAGCGUUCCCCAGGCUGAAAGACCCCGAGAAGGAUUCUGGCCCGACCCUCUGUGCCACAGAGCCUCUGCUAAGGGGGGAGGUUAGUAGAGAAGUGAACCAUGCCCCAGAUCAGACCAACGGACCAGUGUCCUCCUCCCCGGUUGCCCCCCGUAAGGACCCCAGCCGGAGGCACAGUCGCAUCCCAGUCCUGGAGCCCUCCAGCCUGCUGGAGCUCCCUCCUGCAGGGUCUGCUAAGGAGAAACUCCUGCAGAAGAAAGCUAACCACCCGGGCCCGGCC